GGCGGGUUAGUCAAGAGGUUAAGAUACGCGGCUUUCAAUCGCGUGACGCUGGGUUCAAUUCCCGCACCCGCUACCA
This 76-nucleotide transfer RNA is filed under the name Ruminococcus sp. YE282. RNAcentral describes it as "tRNA_Glu_TTC". It matches the Rfam family "tRNA". Rfam says of the family: Transfer RNA (tRNA) molecules are approximately 80 nucleotides in length. Their secondary structure includes four short double-helical elements and three loops (D, anti-codon, and T loops). Further hydrogen bonds mediate the characteristic L-shaped molecular structure. tRNAs have two regions of fundamental functional importance: the anti-codon, which is responsible for specific mRNA codon recognition, and the 3' end, to which the tRNAs corresponding amino acid is attached (by aminoacyl-tRNA synthetases). tRNAs cope with the degeneracy of the genetic code in two manners: having more than one tRNA (with a specific anti-codon) for a particular amino acid; and 'wobble' base-pairing, i.e. permitting non-standard base-pairing at the 3rd anti-codon position. The record is from RNAcentral. Lineage: Bacteria; Bacillati; Bacillota; Clostridia; Eubacteriales; Oscillospiraceae.